This 219-nucleotide long non-coding RNA is filed under the name Phasianus colchicus (ring-necked pheasant). RNAcentral's name for it is "lncRNA (ENSPCLG00000012429.1)". The record is from RNAcentral. Lineage: Eukaryota; Metazoa; Chordata; Aves; Galliformes; Phasianidae.
CACAGCACCUGCAGCUCCUCUCCAUUCAGGAGGUGAGAAAUUCGUGGAGGCCAAGGCCUGGAGGGGGAUCCCAUACAGCUGCAUUUCACCAGGAAAAGCUUGCACAGCUAAAAACUGUCAUCAUGGUGUCUCAGAGAAGGGAGCAGCUUCCUGGUGAGCAUUUGUUAACAUUGAAGCAUGAGUGUUGGUGAAUAACUGCAAAGAGGACUUCUCAGAGUG